GCUUUAAAUUGUAAAUUUCCACAGUGUCGCAUGCGAAAGCAGAUUGUCGCCCUGAACCAUUGCCUGGCUUUACCCCGUGGGCUUCAGGCACUGAAACGGGUCGCACAGUG
This 110-nucleotide small nucleolar RNA is filed under the name Echinops telfairi (small Madagascar hedgehog). RNAcentral describes it as "Small nucleolar RNA SNORA42/SNORA80 family (ENSETEG00000022517.1)". Lineage: Eukaryota; Metazoa; Chordata; Mammalia; Afrosoricida; Tenrecidae. The record is from RNAcentral.